UACGAGUGCGUCGAGCGUUAUCCGGAAUCAUUGGGCGUAAAGGGUGUGUAGGUGGCGUUGUUAGUCUCCUGUUAAAUUCCUCGGCUCAACCGGGGGCUCGCGGGAGAAACGGCAAUGCUAGAGGUUGGUAGGGGUUUCUGGAACUCUAAGUGUAGCGGUGAAAUGCGUUGAUAUCAAGUGGAACACCAGUGGCGAAGGCGGCUCACUGGCCCGAUACUGACGCUGAGGCACGAAAGCGUGGGGAGCAAACAGG
Molecule: ribosomal RNA, 253 nt
Filed under: uncultured bacterium
Lineage: Bacteria
Description: partial 16S ribosomal RNA
Rfam family: Bacterial small subunit ribosomal RNA
Source: RNAcentral